This 2661-nucleotide ribosomal RNA is filed under the name Sphaerospora hankai. RNAcentral describes it as "partial 28S ribosomal RNA". It matches the Rfam family "Eukaryotic large subunit ribosomal RNA", at positions 23 to 1167 of the family's 3401-position model. Lineage: Eukaryota; Metazoa; Cnidaria; Myxozoa; Bivalvulida; Sphaerosporidae. The record is from RNAcentral.
ACCCGCUGAAUUUAAGCAUAUCAGUAAGCGGAGGAAAAGAAAACAACAGUGAUUCCCUCAGUAACUGCGAGUGAAGCGGGAAGAGCCCAACGUUGAAUCGCUUCUGUCCCUCACCGGACUGCGAGUAUGUAUCGCGAGCGAGUUGUGACGUAAGGACGCAUUGCACCGAGUCUGUACGUGUCGCCAAAGUUUUCCUGGAAAGGAGCGCCAUAGAGGGUGAUAGCCCCGUGUGAGGCGACAUGAGUGCUGUGUUAGUGCAGGCUCGCUUGUGUGCUCGAACAUGCAAGUGUGGCAGUGUGUUCCAUGAGUCGGGUUGUUUGAGAUUGCAGCCCAAAGGGGGUGGUAGACUCCACCCAAGGCUAAAUACUGGCACAAAACCGAUAGCGAACAAGUACCGUGAGGGAAAGUUGAAAAGCAUUCCGAAAGGAAGGUUAAAAGGACGUGAAACCGUUAAAGGGGAAGCGGAUGGAUGGGUCGAACCGCCGUCCCACCGGGCCAGCGUCAUGUGUUACUACUGGUGCAUGUGGCGUACUCAGUGCCCAUUGUGGUGUGGAGGAGCCGAAACAGUCGUUGCGAGUACGGCCAGGACAGGCUGGGCAGUUGAUCUGUGGCAUCCGCCACUUAGCCCUGUGCAAGCAGGGUGUUAGCGUGUGGGCCAUGCCACAGAUCGGCUGUUACCUGUAAGUGUGCUCCGGUGUCAAAGCCGGCGUCCACAUAUUAAUGUGAUGCUCAUGGUUCGCCAAAAGGCUCUGUCAUCAUGUGUGGCAGGGCCCAGCAGUGACCGCAAUCAAGUGACCUGGUGCUCAGCACACCCAGGUGGUGUGCGCGAGUAAAAGAUUCGUUUGUGAUGACUGAGAAAUUGCGCCGUUGAGGCGAUGCUGUGUGUUCCCACCGGUGUGAAUUGCAUCGCGAUGAGUGGAACAAGGGCGCGUAAUGUGUGCCACGUCCCCUGGGAGAGGGGUGCCCGCUGUGAGUUGCAAUAUAUGAACAGCGGGUGUCCUACAUCGGACCUCAUCCAGAGGAUCCGAUCUGAGUGGUGAUAUCCCAGUCGUGCGGGGUGGCGCCGCACCAGCAUGUGCUUGCAGUGAUGUGAGUAUGUGAGGGUGUGUGUGCCGCUGCGAUUGUGGAUGAGACCUCCGGUCUGCACGCUUGCAGCGACCCCUCUGUCCAUGUGGCAGGGGUGUGGGUGCGCGGACUUCCAGCUGUGGGAAUGACCCGCAAGGGUUGGCCAGCUACAUCUCGCCGCUCUCCCAGCGAUAAUUGAGACCCAUGGUUAAACAAUUGUCACACUUCGGUGUACGGCAUCACAUUUACACCAACUGUAAAUUAGCCAGGACGUGGAUACGCGUUUCCGUCAUCAUCCCCAAAAGAUGGUGGCGGUGAGAAUGAUAAUGAAACACAGCUAGUUUUCGGCGAGACACCAAUCCAUCCGACCCGUCUUGAAACACGGACCAAGGAGCCUAACAUAUGCGCGAGUCAAAGGGUGAUAGAAACCCAGUACGUGUAGCGUAACACGAGGCACCCCGGGGCCUUACCAGGGCCACUAACCGUGGGUGUGCUUGCAGUGUGUGACUCAUGAGGCAUAAUGAAAGUGACCACCAGCAGUGGUGAUGAGAUGGGAUCCGGCUGAGGACUUAUGUGCACAUGGGCCUCGGGCCAUGUGUCCGGGGCAAAUGUGCAUGUCGGUGUGCAGAACACGACCCAGUACGGCGCACCAUCAGCCGGUCUGUAUGUAGGUACAGAUUGAGCGAGAGCGCGUAUGCUAGAACCCGAAAGAUGGUGAACUAUUCCUGGGUAGGGCGAAGCCGGAGGAAACUCCGGUGGAGGCUCGCAGCGAUUCUGACGUGCAAAUCGAUCGUCAAACCUGGGUAUAGGGGCGAAAGACUAAUCGAACCAUCUAGUAGCUGGUUCCUUCCGAAAUAUCCCUCAGGAUCGCUGAGACCUGAAGUAAAACAAUCAUGUGUUGUGUGCGUACGUGUUGCCAUGUGGGUGUGCGGGUUCGCUCGUAUGCCUGCAUGGUGGGUGCGUAGUAUGCACGUGAGAGUACGGUAGUUUCAUCGGGUAGAGCUAAUGAUUAGAGUGAUUUGGGAGUUAAUGCUCCUGGAACUAUUCUCAAACUGCCAACCGGUGAUGACUGCCAGUGAUUUCUUAGAUGUCCUCUGCGGACGACCGUUCGGUGAUACAGGCAGGCUGUGCGCAGCCUGUCUGGUCCGUGGAGGGUGGCCCCAAUUGGCCAGUGAGACAGCCAUCCUGUUUAUGACGUCGUGGCCUGUGCGUGUGUCGGGUGUCUGCAGCAAUGUGGAUGCUUGGUGUGUGUGCAGGCCUGGCGUGUAGUGGCAGGGUGGCCUGUCAGUGGUGAUCGUGCUGUGCGCGAUGCCCCUCACGGGGUAUCGCGUGUGUGUGUCAGGAGGUGCGUUGGAAGCGCAUCAUGCUUUGGUCCUCACAGCUGGGACACGGUGUGCCACUGCGCUCAUUGGUUGCGUUCGGGGCUGCGCCUGCUGAAGGGCAGGAGCGUGAGAUGAAUCACUGGCUUUCUCGGUGCAUCAGUGGUAAAACACUGUGUUUAGAUUGUGCCGAGACUGCGUUAGCGUGCGCAGGAAGUGAAUACCAGGGUCUCAAGUGGGCCGUUUCUGGUAAGCAGAACUGGCGAUGCGGGAUGAA